UUCCAGACUCCUACGGGAGGCAGCAGUGGGGGAUAUUGCACAAUGGGGGAAACCCUGAUGCAGCGACGCCGCGUGGGUGAAGAAGCGCCUCGGCGCGUAAAGCCCUGUCAGCAGGGAAGAAAAUGACGGUACCUGAAGAAGAAGCCCCGGCUAACUACGUGCCAGCAGCCGCGGUAAUACGUAGGGGGCAAGCGUUAUCCGGAUUUACUGGGUGUAAAGGGCGUGUAGGCGGGAAAGCAAGUCAGAUGUGAAAACCAUGGGCUCAACCUGUGGCCUGCAUUUGAAACUGUGUUUCUUGAGUACUGGAGAGGCAGACGGAAUUCCUAGUGUAGCGGUGAAAUGCGUAGAUAUUAGGAGGAACACCAGUGGCGAAGGCGGCUUACUGGACUGUAACUGACGUUGAGGCUCGAAAGCGUGGGGAGCAAACAGGAUUAGAUACCCGGGUAC
This 447-nucleotide ribosomal RNA is filed under the name uncultured bacterium. Its description in RNAcentral is "bacterial SSU rRNA". It matches the Rfam family "Bacterial small subunit ribosomal RNA", at positions 329 to 793 of the family's 1533-position model. The record is from RNAcentral.